GCACAAGCGGUGGAGCAUGUGGUUUAAUUCGAAGCAACGCGAAGAACCUUACCAAAUCUUGACAUCCUCUGACCCCUCUAGAGAUAGAGUUUUCCCCCUUCGGGGGACAGAGUGACAGGUGGUGCAUGGUUGUCGUCAGCUCGUGUCGUGAGAUGUUGGGUUAAGUCCCGCAACGAGCGCAACCCUUAAGCUUAGUUGCCAUCAUUAAGUUGGGCACUCUAAGUUGACUGCCGGUGACAAACCGGAGGAAGGUGGGGAUGACGUCAAAUCAUCAUGCCCCUUAUGAUUUGGGCUACACACGUGCUACAAUGGACAAUACAAAGGGCAGCGAAACCGCGAGGUCAAGCAAAUCCCAUAAAGUUGUUCUCAGUUCGGAUUGUAGUCUGCAACUCGACUAUAUGAAGCUGGAAUCGCUAGUAAUCGUAGAUCAGCAUGCUACGGUGAAUACGUUCCCGGGC
Molecule: ribosomal RNA, 458 nt
Filed under: uncultured bacterium
Lineage: Bacteria
Description: bacterial SSU rRNA
Rfam family: Bacterial small subunit ribosomal RNA
Source: RNAcentral